This 2106-nucleotide ribosomal RNA is filed under the name Vibrio fluvialis. RNAcentral's name for it is "bacterial LSU rRNA". It matches the Rfam family "Bacterial large subunit ribosomal RNA", at positions 14 to 2160 of the family's 2925-position model. Lineage: Bacteria; Pseudomonadati; Pseudomonadota; Gammaproteobacteria; Vibrionales; Vibrionaceae. The record is from RNAcentral.
AGCGUACACGGUGGAUGCCUUGGCAGUCAGAGGCGAUGAAGGACGUAGUAACUUGCGAUAAGCUCAGAUUAGGCAGUAACAGCCACUUGAGUCUGAGAUUUCCGAAUGGGGAAACCCAACUGCAUAAGCAGUUACUGUUAACUGAAUACAUAGGUUAACAGGGCGAACCGGGGGAACUGAAACAUCUAAGUACCCCGAGGAGAAGAAAUCAACCGAGAUUCCGAUAGUAGCGGCGAGCGAAAUUGGAUUAGCCCUUAAGCUUUACAUGCGUCAGGUGAAGGUUCUGGAAAGGACCGCGAAACAGGGUGAUAGCCCCGUAGCCGACAGCGCAUGUUCAGUGAAAUCGAGUAGGGCGGGACACGUGUUAUCCUGUCUGAAUAUGGGGGGACCAUCCUCCAAGGCUAAAUACUCCUGACUGACCGAUAGUGAACCAGUACCGUGAGGGAAAGGCGAAAAGAACCCCUGUGAGGGGAGUGAAAUAGAACCUGAAACCGUGUACGUACAAGCAGUAGGAGCCUCCUUUGUGGGGUGACUGCGUACCUUUUGUAUAAUGGGUCAGCGACUUAUAUUCAGUGGCAAGGUUAACCAUUUAGGGGAGCCGUAGGGAAACCGAGUCUUAACUGGGCGUUCAGUCUCUGGAUAUAGACCCGAAACCGGGUGAUCUAGCCAUGGGCAGGUUGAAGGUUGAGUAACAUCAACUGGAGGACCGAACCGACUAAUGUUGAAAAAUUAGCGGAUGACUUGUGGCUAGGGGUGAAAGGCCAAUCAAACUCGGAGAUAGCUGGUUCUCCCCGAAAGCUAUUUAGGUAGCGCCUCGGACGAAUACUACUGGGGGUAGAGCACUGUUAAGGCUAGGGGGUCAUCCCGACUUACCAACCCUUUGCAAACUCCGAAUACCAGUAAGUACUAUCCGGGAGACACACGGCGGGUGCUAACGUCCGUCGUGGAGAGGGAAACAACCCAGACCGCCAGCUAAGGUCCCAAAUUACAGCUAAGUGGGAAACGAUGUGGGAAGGCUCAGACAGCUAGGAUGUUGGCUUAGAAGCAGCCAUCAUUUAAAGAAAGCGUAAUAGCUCACUAGUCGAGUCGGCCUGCGCGGAAGAUGUAACGGGGCUAAGCUGUAAACCGAAGCUGCGGCAAUGCGAUUUAUCGUAUUGGGUAGGGGAGCGUUCUGUAAGCCGUUGAAGGUGUGUUGUAAAGCAUGCUGGAGGUAUCAGAAGUGCGAAUGCUGACAUGAGUAACGACAAGGGGGGUGAAAAACCUCCCCGCCGGAAGACCAAGGGUUCCUGUCCAACGUUAAUCGGGGCAGGGUAAGUCGACCCCUAAGGCGAGGCCGAAAGGCGUAGUCGAUGGGAAACGGGUUAAUAUUCCCGUACUUCUUACAAUUGCGAUGGGGGGACGGAGAAGGCUAGGUGGGCCUGGCGACGGUUGUCCAGGUUCAAGUGCGUAGGCUUGAGGGUUAGGUAAAUCCGGCUCUCUUUAAGGCUGAGACACGACGUCGAGCUACUACGGUAGUGAAGUCAUUGAUGCCAUGCUUCCAGGAAAAGCCUCUAAGCUUCAGAUUGUAAGGAAUCGUACCCCAAACCGACACAGGUGGUCGGGUAGAGAAUACCAAGGCGCUUGAGAGAACUCGGGUGAAGGAACUAGGCAAAAUGGUACCGUAACUUCGGGAGAAGGUACGCUCUUGAUGGUGAAGUCCCUCGCGGAUGGAGCUGAUGAGAGUCGCAGAUACCAGGUGGCUGCAACUGUUUAUUAAAAACACAGCACUGUGCAAAAUCGUAAGAUGACGUAUACGGUGUGACGCCUGCCCGGUGCCGGAAGGUUAAUUGAUGGGGUUAGCGUAAGCGAAGCUCUUGAUCGAAGCCCCGGUAAACGGCGGCCGUAACUAUAACGGUCCUAAGGUAGCGAAAUUCCUUGUCGGGUAAGUUCCGACCUGCACGAAUGGCGUAAUGAUGGCCACGCUGUCUCCACCCGAGACUCAGUGAAAUUGAAAUCGCUGUGAAGAUGCAGUGUACCCGCGGCUAGACGGAAAGACCCCGUGAACCUUUACUACAGCUUGGCACUGAACAUUGAACCUACAUGUGUAGGAUAGGUGGGAGGCUUUGA